CCCCGCCGCGCCCGGCCCCCACCCGAGCGGGGUCUCCCUCCUUCCCGCAGGCACCUCGAGACCUCCCUGCAGACACCCGGCACCCCCUGCCCGGCGCCCUGCAACCAGCCCCGGCCCCAAAGCCACCCCCCGAAAUCCCAAGGUUUUCCUGCAGGCACAGCUACUCGAAGCUCAGGGGAUGGGAAAAGCGCAUCCCGCCGGGGCUCAGCCUGAAGACCCGGGUGCAGCCGGGGUUUUGCAGCGCUGUGUGCGCGCUGUGCAAACAACAGCCCGGCUCUCAGGGACAGCAUGAUGGAAAGCACGCUUAAAGGAGAACAAAGAUGUCAAGAAGCAGGAACAAGAGCUCGUGAUUUAAUGCUGCAGGCCGGUUGAUUUUAUUUAAUGCUUUAAAGUGCUAUUUACACACUCGGUUUUUUUCCUUCACUUCUGUGACUUAAAAAAUAUCGCUGGAAGAAGGUCACCCUUUCCUAGGCACACAGCUCUUCCCCUCCAAGGGGUUCUUUAACAGGCAAACAUGCUACCCCGUGGUCCUACAGCUUGCACCACAAUUAAACCAAACUCUUGGCAAA
This is a non-coding RNA of Anas platyrhynchos (mallard), 569 nucleotides long. Lineage: Eukaryota; Metazoa; Chordata; Aves; Anseriformes; Anatidae. The record is from RefSeq and is a predicted model, not a curated record.